GGGCACUGUCCUGAGGAUAUAGCUGUACUGAGAAUCUAAGAUCUCCAUCCUUGUGGAGUUUAUAUUCUAGCCUACGUGUGUGGCAGGGGACAGAUGGCACAAUGAGGUGGUGACCUGAAUUUUCAGUGUCCUGGAGGAACUUGAAUAUUUAAGGCCUGCAUUCAGCUGAAACAGAACAUUGAAGCCCUUUUGCAUUUUCUGGGUUCAAAAGCAAGGCUGCACACAAUAACAUGAUGCCAUGGCUAAGAAGUUGGGUCCUCAAGGCACUGAGAAAUGCCCGGGGAUUCUGUGGGCCUCACAGGCAGCAACCACCUCUCCCUGACCCUCAGAAAAUUGUGGCCACCUGGGAAGCCAUCAGCCUGGGGAGGCAGCCAGUGCCUGAGUACUUCAACUUUGCCCAUGAUGUGCUGGACAUGUGGAGUCAGCUGGAAAAGGCUGGGCACCGGCCCCGGAUCCCCGCAUUCUGGUGGGUCAAUGGCAAGGGAACAGAGGUCAAGUGGAACUUUGAGGAGCUGGGGGAGCAGUCCAGGAAGGUGGCUAAUGUGCUCCAGGACAUGUGUGGCCUUCAGCCUGGGGACAGGAUGAUGCUGGUGCUCCCGCGGCUCCCAGAGUGGUGGCUGGUCAGCGUGGCAUGCAUACGGACAGGGGCUGUCGUGAUUCCAGGUGUCUCUCAGCUGACGGAGAAGGACCUCAAAUAUCGGCUGCAGGCGUCCAGGGCCAAGUCCAUUAUCACCAGUGACUCCCUGGCUCCGCGGGUGGACGCCAUUAGCGCCGACUGUCCCUCCCUCCAGUCCAAGCUACUGGUGUCAGAUGGCAGUCGGCCAGGCUGGAUGAGCUUCAGGGAACUCCUCCGCGAGGCAUCCACAGAGCACAACUGUGUGAGGACCAAGAGUCAAGACCCUCUGGCCAUCUACUUCACAAGUGGCACCACUGGGGCCCCCAAGAUGGUUGAGCACUCCCAGGCCAGCUACGGACUGGGUUUUGUGGCCAUCGGAAGGCGGUGGAUGGACUUGACCAAAUCGGACAUCUUCUGGAACACGUCUGACACUGGCUGGGUAAAGUCAGCUUGGACCCUCUUCUCUGCCUGGUCCAAUGGAUCUUGCAUUUUUGUGCAUGAGCUGCCCCGAGUCGAUGCCAAGAUUAUUCUGAAUACUCUCUCCAGAUUCCCCAUCACCACCCUCUGCUGUGUCCCCACCAUCUUCCGGCUGCUGGUACAGGAGGAUCUCACCAGGUACCAGUUUCAGAGCCUGAGGCACUGUUUGACUGGAGGAGAGUCACUGAAUCCUGACGUGAGAGAGAAGUGGAAGAGCCAGGUGGGCCUGGAGCUGCAUGAAGGCUAUGGCCAGUCUGAAACAGUUUUAAUCUGUGCCGUUUCAAAAGGCAUGAAAAUCAAGUCUGGAUCCAUGGGGAAAGCAUCGCCACCUUACGAUGUGCAGAUCGUGGAUGAUGAGGGCAACAUCCUGUCUCCAGGAGAAGAGGGGAAUAUUGCUGUUCGAGUUAGGCCCACCCGGCCCUUCUGUUUCUUCAGUUGCUAUUUGAACAAUCCUGAGAAGACAGAGGCAUCAGAACGAGGGGACUUUUACAUCACGGGGGACCGAGCCCACAAGGACAAGGAUGGCUACUUUUGGUUCGUGGGAAGAAAUGAUGAUGUGAUCAAUUCCUCAAGGUCAAGCUGUCUGCUCUGUCCUUCUCCCUUUGAAGCUUCGUGGGGGGGAGGUGGGAAGUGGUCACUUGGAAGAGUUUGUUUUUCUCUUCCAGCUACCGGAUUGGGCCCGUUGAAGUGGAAAAUGCCCUUGCCGAGCACUCUGCUGUUCUGUAGGCUGCUGUGGUCAGCAGCCCAGACCCCAUCAGAGGGGAGGUGGUGAAGGCAUUUAUUGUCCUUUCUCCAGCUUACUCCUCUCAAGAUCCUAAGAAACUAACUCAGGAGCUCCAGGAGCAUGUGAAAAGGGUGACUGCUCCAUACAAGUACCCCAGGAAGGUGGCCUUUGUUUCAGAAUUGCCCAAGACAGUUUCUGGAAAGAUCCAAAGGAAUACAUUGAGAAGCCAAGAGUGGGGGGAGAUGAGAGGCAACCCCCGAAAGGCCCCAUAGGCCUCUGAAGUUUCUAAGAGGAACUGGUGGGAUCACUGUUUAGUCCUUGUUUGGAGCAUCAUCCCUUAAACCCUGUGGACAUCAAAAGCUUUCAGUUUCAAAUGGGCAUUUCCAAAAUAGUUCGGAGGACCCUGGAAGAGAGUGGAAGAAUGUCACUAACCCAGAGUGCACAGCCCCUGCCAGUCUAGCAUAUGUUUGAUGCCUUGACUUCCCCCUCCUCUCUCUGAAGGCAACCUCAGCAGCUGAUGCUCUGAAGGACAGGUCACCAUAAAGUCAGGGCUCCUGUGAUCUCAUUCAUUGCCGGUCAUUCAGGGCCGGAACUGUUACCAUCCCUCUCUUGACAAUGUAUUCCAUUAUCCUUUUGAUAAAGCCAUAUAUCCAGGGCCAUGAAAAAUUGGUCCUACUCUUUAGCUCAGAAAUUCCAUCUUUGGUAAUUACUGCAAAAGAAAGAAUUCAAGGAUAUUUACUCGAACAUUGUUUAAAACUGUUAAAAAAAGAUACUGUAUGUGGAAAACCCAAAAGACUCCACCCCAAAACUGCUAGAACUCA
Molecule: RNA transcript, 2638 nt
Organism: Zalophus californianus (California sea lion)
Lineage: Eukaryota; Metazoa; Chordata; Mammalia; Carnivora; Otariidae
Gene: ACSM5
Gene name: acyl-CoA synthetase medium chain family member 5
Exons: 15
Source: RefSeq, a predicted model, not a curated record